GCGGGUGUAGCUCAAUGGUAGAGCACCGGCCUUCCAAGCCGGGUACGGGGGUUCGAUUCCCCUCACCCGCU
RNAcentral lists this transfer RNA (71 nucleotides) under Limnochorda pilosa. It matches the Rfam family "tRNA". From Rfam's summary of the family: Transfer RNA (tRNA) molecules are approximately 80 nucleotides in length. Their secondary structure includes four short double-helical elements and three loops (D, anti-codon, and T loops). Lineage: Bacteria; Bacillati; Bacillota; Limnochordia; Limnochordales; Limnochordaceae. The record is from Rfam by way of RNAcentral.